AGAGCCCCGUGGCCAGCGGCCGGCCGCGGGGCCUUUUUGUCCUGAGGGCCAGAGAAAGGGAGAAGGGGGUGGGGGGACAGCCACGUGGCCGCAGGAGGAUUUACAACAUUUUCUUUCGCCAUCGAUGUUAUCGCAAAAUGUGUGAGAGAAGCGGCUGCGCAGCCCGGACGGGAGCGUGAGGGUGCGGGCCAGGUAAGCAGCCCCGGCGGUUUCGCCGCAUACGGGACUGCGGGGCGACCGCGGGCACCAGCCACGCGCAGCGGCUCCGCGGGGUCUCGGCCGGGUCCGCGCUCUGAAGGAUCUCGAGAGCCAUGGAUGGUGCAGGCGGGACCCUCGAGCUGCAGCAUCUCCGGUGACCCGGGGUUGCCGAGGAGGUGGAGACCAGCACAGGUGGUCCGGCCCGGGCGCCUCCGAAUCCGGGGGUGGUCAAGACGGAUCCCCAAGGCUGAGGUCGGCAGUCCCGGGGACUCGCAGCUGUUGAGCCUGUGGAGACGCGGCCCCGUGACCGAGGCACCCUUCAGCAACCCGGGGGCAGCGUUUUCCCCCUACCGGAAAUCUGAUGGGCUUAUGACAUCAUGGCUGGCUGCUGAGCGAUGAAGUGGAUGCCACAAAGAAAUCCGACAUAUCAGAUAGAUUCUGAAAUCGGUUUCCCUCCAGCUGUAGUAACAGGCGUGAAGUCAGGAGAAUUUGAGCUUUGUUUAAAAAAUAAAUAAAUAAAUAAAUAAACCAUAACAAAGUCUUGCCCUGUAUUAAAUGCAAUUUUCUUAAAAACAAGCAAACCUUUUGGACAUCAUUUUAUUUUAAUAGAAAUGCUGAGUUUUAUGAAACUAAAGUGGCUAAUAAAUCAGACCUGA
RNAcentral lists this long non-coding RNA (854 nucleotides) under Homo sapiens (human). RNAcentral's name for it is "HSALNT0406238". The record is from RNAcentral. Lineage: Eukaryota; Metazoa; Chordata; Mammalia; Primates; Hominidae.